UUUGCAGUGGCGGCUGCUAUACAUGCAGUCGAACGCUUCUUUUUCCACCGGAGCUUGCUCCACCGGAAAAAGAGGAGUGGCGAACGGGUGAGUAACACGUGGGUAACCUGCCCAUCAGAAGGGGAUAACACUUGGAAACAGGUGCUAAUACCGUAUAACAAUCAAAACCGCAUGGUUUUGAUUUGAAAGGCGCUUUCGGGUGUCGCUGAUGGAUGGACCCGCGGUGCAUUAGCUAGUUGGUGAGGUAACGGCUCACCAAGGCCACGAUGCAUAGCCGACCUGAGAGGGUGAUCGGCCACAUUGGGACUGAGACACGGCCCAAACUCCUACGGGAGGCAGCAGUAGGGAAUCUUCGGCAAUGGACGAAAGUCUGACCGAGCAACGCCGCGUGAGUGAAGAAGGUUUUCGGAUCGUAAAACUCUGUUGUUAGAGAAGAACAAGGAUGAGAGUAACUGUUCAUCCCUUGACGGUAUCUAACCAGAAAGCCACGGCUAACUACGUGCCAGCAGCCGCGGUAAUACGUAGGUGGCAAGCGUUGUCCGGAUUUAUUGGGCGUAAAGCGAGCGCAGGCGGUUUCUUAAGUCUGAUGUGAAAGCCCCCGGCUCAACCGGGGAGGGUCAUUGGAAACUGGGAGACUUGAGUGCAGAAGAGGAGAGUGGAAUUCCAUGUGUAGCGGUGAAAUGCGUAGAUAUAUGGAGGAACACCAGUGGCGAAGGCGGCUCUCUGGUCUGUAACUGACGCUGAGGCUCGAAAGCGUGGGGAGCAAACAGGAUUAGAUACCCUGGUAGUCCACGCCGUAAACGAUGAGUGCUAAGUGUUGGAGGGUUUCCGCCCUUCAGUGCUGCAGCUAACGCAUUAAGCACUCCGCCUGGGCAGUACGACCGCAAGGUUGAAACUCAAAGGAAUUGACGGGAGCCCGCACAAGCGGUGGAGCAUGUGGUUUAAUUCGAAGCAACGCGAAGAACCUUACCAGGUCUUGACAUCCUUUGACCACUCUAGAGAUAGAGCUUCCCCUUCGGGGGCAAAGUGACAGGUGGUGCAUGGUGUCGUCAGCUCGUGUCGUGAGAUGUUGGGUUAAGUCCCGCAACGAGCGCAACCCUUAUUGUUAGUUGCCAUCAAUUCAGUUGGGCAA
RNAcentral lists this ribosomal RNA (1132 nucleotides) under uncultured bacterium. Its description in RNAcentral is "bacterial SSU rRNA". It matches the Rfam family "Bacterial small subunit ribosomal RNA", at positions 30 to 1138 of the family's 1533-position model. The record is from RNAcentral.